RNAcentral lists this long non-coding RNA (249 nucleotides) under Selaginella moellendorffii. RNAcentral's name for it is "long non-coding RNA (SMOE_LNC001631)". Lineage: Eukaryota; Viridiplantae; Streptophyta; Lycopodiopsida; Selaginellales; Selaginellaceae. The record is from RNAcentral.
UGCUCCACUUGGAGAAUACCAGCUUAGCAAUGCUUUCGAUAGCCGUGCUGAUGCAUCUAGAGUCUUACAGGUGAUAUGAUCAAGAUGAUCUAGCUGGAAAUCAAACUCUCGUCAUUUCAGGACCACAGAAACAUGUUCAUCAAUUCAAAUGAUGUCUAGGAAGAUCAACACAGUGAGGAUUCUAGUGGGAUGGUGGAUUGGAUCUGAUCCAAGACCUCCUCCACCUUAUGUAGCAGGCUCUCUUGCAGC